UGAUGCAACACUGUGGGGCUGAAAUAACAGAUUUUAUUCUUCCACAAAGAAAAAGAAACAACAUAAACAUGUCCCUCUUUUGCUAUUCAAGAGACAUGUCCAUCUCGUCAUCCUCUAUGUCCUCACUCGCCACGGACAGACAGAAGCAAUGGAACCUUUACGGAAAUAGUUCCUGUGAAUGAAACCGUUCUGGAGCGGUUCGGUUCUGUUGAGAAUCGGAUCAGCUGUUCUCUGUCACGUGACUGGCGGUCAGCCGUGGCCGCGCGGCGGCAGACUUGGCGGGUUUCUUACCGACCUGCUUUGGGUAAGAGGACCGGCGGGCGGAGCUCGCUCAGCCGCUCCACCUGCUCCCGCAGCUGCAGGAUCUCCCGCCGGGAGCGGACCACCUCCUCCCGGUACUCCGCGACCGUCCUCUCCACGAGCCCGAAGAUCUCCUCCGCCGCCGCUGCGAGCCGCUCGCGGACCAGCAGCCGGAGCCGUUGUUCCCCCAGCAUGACGGACGGGCAGCCCGGGAACCGGAGACGGAGCGGGAGGGGGGACACCGACCGGGAUUUAUCAAGAAGCGACGGCGAGAGACGAGGAGUUCCUCCGUUCAAUGGUUUACACUGAAACUAAAGAAAUCUCUUCGCUUUGGCGCCCCCUGCUGCCGCGGAGGACCGCUUCUGCCACUGUUAAAGUAGAAGAAAUUCUAACUUAAACAUUAGUUUUAAUCCGUUGAAAACACAUAAGAACCACAAAACAUAAAUAAAUAAAUACAUACAAACCUG
Oryzias melastigma (Indian medaka) is the source of this 767-nucleotide long non-coding RNA. RefSeq lists it as uncharacterized. The record is from RefSeq and is a predicted model, not a curated record. Lineage: Eukaryota; Metazoa; Chordata; Actinopteri; Beloniformes; Adrianichthyidae. The transcript has 2 exons.